RNAcentral lists this signal recognition particle RNA (264 nucleotides) under Acidobacteriota bacterium. Its description in RNAcentral is "Acidobacteria bacterium signal recognition particle sRNA large type". It matches the Rfam family "Bacterial large signal recognition particle RNA". From Rfam's summary of the family: The signal recognition particle (SRP) is a universally conserved ribonucleoprotein involved in the co-translational targeting of proteins to membranes. Archaeal SRP consists of a 7S RNA and homologues of the eukaryotic SRP19 and SRP54 proteins. In most bacteria, the SRP consists of a 4.5S RNA and the Ffh protein (a homologue of the eukaryotic SRP54 protein). The record is from RNAcentral. Lineage: Bacteria; Pseudomonadati; Acidobacteriota.
UCGUGCUAGGCGGGGAGCUAGCGGUGCCCUGUAACCUGCAAUCCGCUAUAGCAGGGCUGAAUUCCUUCCCGAGGGGUCGAAUUGCGGAGGUAGCCUCCUGCGGGGAUCCGAAGGGUCCCAGCCCCGCGCACUAGGAACUCGUGAACCCCGUCAGGCCCGGAAGGGAGCAGCGGUAAGCGGCCAUUCCUAGGUGAUGCGGGUCUCCUGGGGCCCCGACCCGUGGGGGCGCGAAACCGGGGUCCGUCUUCGAGGGAGGGUGCACGA